GGGGUUGUGGCUCAGUGAUAGAGCACUUGCCUUGCAUGUGUGAGGCACUGGGUUCAAAUCUCAGCACCA
RNAcentral lists this transfer RNA (69 nucleotides) under Ictidomys tridecemlineatus (thirteen-lined ground squirrel). RNAcentral describes it as "Spermophilus tridecemlineatus (thirteen-lined ground squirrel) tRNA". It matches the Rfam family "tRNA". Rfam says of the family: Transfer RNA (tRNA) molecules are approximately 80 nucleotides in length. Lineage: Eukaryota; Metazoa; Chordata; Mammalia; Rodentia; Sciuridae. The record is from Rfam by way of RNAcentral.